GUGUUUGUUUACACAGCACCACUAUUUGGUAGAGCAUGAGACUCUUAAUCUCAGGUCCAUGGGUUUGAGCCCCAUGUUGGGCCACA
Podarcis lilfordi (Lilford's wall lizard) is the source of this 86-nucleotide non-coding RNA. Lineage: Eukaryota; Metazoa; Chordata; Lepidosauria; Squamata; Lacertidae. The record is from the annotation of a GenBank genome assembly.